RNAcentral lists this long non-coding RNA (1103 nucleotides) under Sorghum bicolor (sorghum). RNAcentral describes it as "long non-coding RNA (SBIC_LNC013493)". Lineage: Eukaryota; Viridiplantae; Streptophyta; Magnoliopsida; Poales; Poaceae. The record is from RNAcentral.
UCUCUUCUGUCAAAGCUAAGAGAGAGAGUGGAGUUUAGCUCUUCUCUCCCCGGCCGCCAGUUCAAAGGUGACAACUCUGGUGGUAUAUUUCUCUGCGUAACCACACUUUCCCUUCACUGAUCACUCAGAGAAAAGCCGGCGUCCAAGAAAAGUGAUCUUACAGCUGAUGACCACUGGAAGAGUACGUGGCCUUAUGUUCAUGUGGGAGAAAUUUAUGUACUGUACGUGUAGACCCUUGCCACUUGGUUUCCCUUUUUCUACAGUAACACAGUUUUCAAGUUCUGUCGUCUUAUUUGUAAUUACAUUAUCUGAAGUACAUAGACAGUACUGUACGGGUUAUAGUAUAUUUGAAGAUGCAUGCACGGGCAUUUAAGGAGAGAGAGGCAUAUUGAUUAACAAGCACCGCUAUAUAGCAAACCAUUAACUAUCCGAACAAGUAGGUCGAUCCAAGCCACUGAACAGUCAACAGUGUAGUAGCUGUUCACACACACACAUCAUCCGCAUACAUGCAUGAGCACAUGAUCGAGAAGCUAGCUAGGUCGCACUGCAAGCCACACAUACAUAUAUAUAUAUCCAUGUAUAUGUGCACAGUGCAUGAUGCACACGGUUACAUAAUACUAUAUAGAUACAGCAUGCUAUUAAUCCUCCUGUAUGUUACCACACAACUUUAUUUUAUUUUUCCUGGCUUGCUAGCUUCAUCACGUGCACUGGUAUGUACUUACGUGGUAGAUUUCAUCAUUUAGCUGACCCUGCAUGCGCCAAAGAAUAUAGUUGAGAAAGAUAUAUAUAUAUAUAUAUAUAUAUAUAUAUAUAUAUAUAUAUAUAUAUAUAUAUAUAUAUAUAUAUAUAUAUAUAUAUAUAUAUAUAUAUAUAUAUAUAUAUACAUGAUGUGCAAGAGAUGAUGGCAGAGAUGGACCAGAGAUAAUAACUAUAUAUACGUACUUGUUGCAGUCGGUGGACAUGCUGAUGGGGAAAGGCACGGAGACGCCGCACUUGCCGGGGAUGGUGGCGACGGUGCCCAUGUUGACGCUCUUGACGCUGUUGGCGAGGCUCUUGAGGCACCGGCACGCCGCCUGCCGGUCCGAGCUGCUGCGCGCCUGCCC